AGGUAACAUUCCAUGAUGGGGGAGUGGAAUCUAGUGUGACACCCUGACCAUUCUCCUCUUGGUUUAUCUCAAAAUACACAGGGUGUUUGUCUAUAGGCUGUGGGUUUGGUUGUAUCUGGAAUGAGUGGCAAACACCCAAUUUUUUUCUUUUCUUUCUUGUGUUUCUUAAUCAAAGUUUUGGAAAAAGCACUGUGGGAUAUGCAAGAUGAUGAAUCUUUAUGGUUGCCUAUACACAAGAACCCAACAGAGCCUUCAGUAAACUGGGAACUGAAGUACAGUUACAUGGGAGUAGAAACAGAUGCUGCCUGAAUAAGGUGUCAGCUGAGGGUUGUCUCCCUGAGGCUGCCUUACUUUGUACAUACACAUGGAGGUCAGGAUCAUGAGUGUCAGAGCUGAAAGUGACCCGUGGAAGUUGAAAGCCCAGACUGUAACUGUAAUGUGCCUGAAGCCACACUCUAGUUCAAGACAGAACUCAAAUUAAGCACGAUGAACCUCACCUUCUAGGAUUUUUCCAGGGGCAGCUCAAAAAGUACUUUCCUAUGAAGAUUUGCUCAAGCAGUAUGGUGAGUUUUAUUGCUUACCAUUUUUUUCAGUGCAAAUGUGGACAGUCUCUUUGAAGUAGGAAAUAAGAAAGCAAAGUGUUUUUCUUAAAUGCUUCAAGAAAUGAAAGUGUGAGGGUGGCAAAGUAGGAUGAUUUUUGGACACAAUUUAAGGUUAAUACCUAGCAAAAGCACAUUGCAAAUGACUGAGUUUAGUUUAAUAGGCAGCCAGUCAAGGAAACACACUGACCUGCCGAGUUAAAACUGGAGGAGAUGGAUAGAAGUAAUGCAUUCCAUUGGCACACACCCACACAGAGGUGGUGUCCACUAAAAGGAGAAUGUGCUUUUUAUCAGAGUUGUGUUUCCUUGAACAGCAGCAAUGCAUUAGCAGUUAGAACCAUGGUUCAGCCAUGUCCCAGCUAAUGUAUAAUUUUCUCCAGUUUUGAUUUGUCUUCCUAUUUCUUUAUGAUAAUAAAAUAUAUAAUUUUAGAAAUACACACAUGUGUGCACAUAUAUGCACACAUCAUAUAUUUCUAAAUGGUUGUAUGAAUUCAUCACAUUUAGAUGGGGUUUCAGUGAUAACACCACUUUUCUCCCCUCAACACAUAUUAUUCAGUUGUUAGCUUCAUAUUCCAGUGAGUCAUUUUCUUCCAUUGCUUGAGAAUUUACCUUGUUUGAUUAUAUAAUUUCAAUGUUUUUCAUCACUGCAAACCAGAACAAUUUAAUAGUUUAAUUUAAAAAAAUCAUAAUUGUUUAAUUGAAAUCUAUUUGAGACAAAACAUUAUAUAAAUUUAAAGUGUACAACAUAUUGGUUUGAUGCAUUUAUAUGUUAGAAGUUGAUUGCCAUUGUAGUACGUCUAUUAAGUCACAUAAUUAUAAUUUUUGUGGUGGAAAUAAAAUUAAGUUCUGGUCUCCUAGCAAGUUUGGUGAUUAUAAUACGAUAUAAUUAUAAUUUUAUAGCUUUUAAAUGUGUGGCUUGUAUGUAGAGUAAUUCUGUGUGUAUGUAGGCACUCUAAAACACACAUCCUUGGAAAUUUCUUCUUCAAGUUUCUUAAACCUUCUUGUUUAAAACAAAUCACAAAAAUUGUUUCUUCUAUGCUACUCUACCAUUGUUUUAUAUCUUUAUCUUUAUUAAAUUAUAG
This is a long non-coding RNA of Phyllostomus discolor (pale spear-nosed bat), 1681 nucleotides long. RefSeq lists it as uncharacterized. The transcript is spliced from 3 exons. The record is from RefSeq and is a predicted model, not a curated record. Lineage: Eukaryota; Metazoa; Chordata; Mammalia; Chiroptera; Phyllostomidae.